UAUGACUCAAGCCAACACUUCCUGGUCACGUGAACAAUUGUGAUCACUCGACAGGGAGGUUUCGCAGGUGUGACAUUUUACUGUGUUGCGAUAAAAUAAAGAGCACUUGGUGUACGGUUGAGGAUGCUGCCAACUUUGGUAGCAACGGUGGUGACCGUGGCAUUUGCCAUCUACUUAAUUCGCCGCAAAUUGCAGCAGGGUGGAGCGAUCGAACAUGGGUUUGCUGAGGCAAGGGGGGAAAGGCGGCCACAGCCUGACUCAGGAUGUCACUCAGGUAACAACCAGACUGGCCGAGCUCGUAUGACGUGUCGUCGCCGUCGCCACCCUGAUGACACGGAUUGUGAAAGUCAAUAUGCAAACAUGCCUGACG
Long non-coding RNA from Haliotis rubra (blacklip abalone), 370 nucleotides. RefSeq lists it as uncharacterized. The transcript has 3 exons. Lineage: Eukaryota; Metazoa; Mollusca; Gastropoda; Lepetellida; Haliotidae. The record is from RefSeq and is a predicted model, not a curated record.